Pundamilia nyererei is the source of this 422-nucleotide long non-coding RNA. RefSeq lists it as uncharacterized. The transcript is spliced from 3 exons. The record is from RefSeq and is a predicted model, not a curated record. Lineage: Eukaryota; Metazoa; Chordata; Actinopteri; Cichliformes; Cichlidae.
AGAAAAAGAAGAAACAAUAGGAGACAAAGGAAUGCCUCCUUCCCAGAUCGGUGUCAUUGUAGUAGCUUUCAUUGUCCUGCUGGUGCUCGGCCUCGUGUGCUUCCUGUGCUACGAAUAUAGACUUUGGAGUAAAUGCUGUGGCCAGACUGGAGGCAUCUACCCUCGUGUGAUGUUUAAGAAGGCUCCGCAAGCAAAAGCUGAUGUGGAGACAGGAGGAGGAUAGAGCAGCUUCUCGGUGCACGAUAAAUCUAUAUCCAUGCUUUCUCCAUCCUUUCCCCUGCAUUACUUAAGUAGCAGUAUGCUUGCAUUAAUAUAUCAUCUCUGCGGGUUUGCUUUUCUGUAUUUUGCCGGGCGGCUUUUUGGGACAAGACAGUUACAGAAUGAAAUCCAUGUUACAGGAUAUUAGAGGCUUGAUGUGCCAA